GAACAUUUGAAGAUCAAAAUGCAUUUGCCACUCCCAAUUUUUUGUGCAUCUGAUUCACCUAUAUAAGCUUUUGUAAUUCUGGUGGAGAGCAUCAUUUGAUUCACUGCAGUCAAAUAGUCUAACAAAAUGUUCAAACUGUUGUUUGUUGUCCUCGCUGCUUUGAUGGCUUUGGUUGCUGCUGAACCAUCUCCGUUACCAGGUCCGAACCCGGCUCCAGCCCCAGCUCCAGUACCAGGACCAAAACCAGCUGUACUGGCUUACACCGGAUAUUACCCCUAUGCUUAUUCCGCUCCUCUAUACUCUUCUGGAUAUUACAGUUACUAUUAAUCUAUGACAUUGCAAUAGAUUCCGGAUUUGAUGUAAUAAAAGGCUUAUAAUAUA
This is a long non-coding RNA of Aethina tumida (small hive beetle), 381 nucleotides long. RefSeq lists it as uncharacterized. The transcript is spliced from 2 exons. Lineage: Eukaryota; Metazoa; Arthropoda; Insecta; Coleoptera; Nitidulidae. The record is from RefSeq and is a predicted model, not a curated record.